CGACCGGCGCACGGGUGAGUAACGCGUAUGCAACCUGCCCGUUUCAGCGGGAUAACCCGGAGAAAUCCGGCCUAAUACCGCAUGUGGCCGAGGGGAGGCAUCUUCUUUCGGCCAAAGGAGGCGACUCCGGAGACGGAUGGGCAUGCGUGACAUUAGCUUGUUGGCGGGGUAACGGCCCACCAAGGCGACGAUGUCUAGGGGCUCUGAGAGGAAGGUCCCCCACACUGGUACUGAGACACGGACCAGACUCCUACGGAAGGCAGCAG
RNAcentral lists this ribosomal RNA (266 nucleotides) under uncultured bacterium. RNAcentral describes it as "partial 16S ribosomal RNA". It matches the Rfam family "Bacterial small subunit ribosomal RNA", at positions 92 to 354 of the family's 1533-position model. The record is from RNAcentral.